AGAAAAUAAAACCGAAUGACAUUUUUGACAAUGACAGUUGUAAAAUGAAAGCAAUUUGUCAGAUUUUGUGAUUUUCUUAAAGUCGUGUGUGUUUUCGAGUGAUUUUAUGUAAUGAAUGGAUCGGUGUCGUUGUCCCGAAUAUGCUGCUGCUGUUAAAAAACUGAGGUUCUACACCCCUGGUACUUUUAGGCCAGAUAUAAUUGAUAACUAUGACAGAGGUGACUACGAUGUGGUUUGGAUUCGUAAGCCAGUAACCUACGGUGAUGCCACCAUGUAUAAACCACAAGCCUACAAGAAACGAGCAGACGGACUGACACAAGAAGAAAUUUUAAAGAUUCGCAAUAAGAAAUUAGAACAUAUGUGGUGUCCCUAUAUGUUGUCGAAAAAGAAGUAAAAGGCAAAAUGUAACAAAUUUUCUAUCUGUUUAGGUUUAAAUUUCACUGGCGAAAUUUGUGAGAUAUACGACUUUUUGAGAAUUAUCAAUUUACUUUAAAUCUUUUGUGAAGUAAACUGUUUUAUUUAAUUGAA
Long non-coding RNA from Spodoptera frugiperda (fall armyworm), 528 nucleotides. RefSeq lists it as uncharacterized. The transcript has 2 exons. The record is from RefSeq and is a predicted model, not a curated record. NCBI's taxonomy places the organism in Eukaryota, Metazoa, Arthropoda, Insecta, Lepidoptera, Noctuidae.